Small nuclear RNA from Protopterus annectens (West African lungfish), 103 nucleotides. NCBI's taxonomy places the organism in Eukaryota, Metazoa, Chordata, Ceratodontiformes, Protopteridae. The record is from RefSeq and is a predicted model, not a curated record.
UGAUAUUUUGCUUCGGCUACUAAAAAUUGGAAAGAUACAGAGAAGAUUAGCAUGGCCCCUGCACAAGGAUGACACGCAAAUUUGUGAAGAGUUCCAUAUUGUU